GUGCUCGCUUCGGCAGCACAUAUACUAAAAUUGGAACGAUACAGAGAACAUUAGCGGCCCCUGCGCAAGGAUGACACGCAAAUUCUUGAAGCGUUCCAUAUUUUU
RNAcentral lists this small nuclear RNA (105 nucleotides) under Octodon degus (degu). The record is from RNAcentral. Lineage: Eukaryota; Metazoa; Chordata; Mammalia; Rodentia; Octodontidae.